GUGGGGGGUGCUUACACAUGCAAGUCGAACGAUGAACCGCUUUCGGGCGGGGAUUAGUGGCGAACGGGUGAGUAACACGUGGGCAAUCUGCCCUGCACUCUGGGACAAGCCCUGGAAACGGGGUCUAAUACCGGAUAUGACUGUCCAUCGCAUGGUGGAUGGUGUAAAGCUCCGGCGGUGCAGGAUGAGCCCGCGGCCUAUCAGCUUGUUGGUGAGGUAGUGGCUCACCAAGGCGACGACGGGUAGCCGGCCUGAGAGGGCGACCGGCCACACUGGGACUGAGACACGGCCCAGACUCCUACGGGAGGCAGCAGUGGGGAAUAUUGCACAAUGGGCGAAAGCCUGAUGCAGCGACGCCGCGUGAGGGAUGACGGCCUUCGGGUUGUAAACCUCUUUCAGCAGGGAAGAAGCGAAAGUGACGGUACCUGCAGAAGAAGCGCCGGCUAACUACGUGCCAGCAGCCGCGGUAAUACGUAGGGCGCAAGCGUUGUCCGGAAUUAUUGGGCGUAAAGAGCUCGUAGGCGGCUUGUCACGUCGGUUGUGAAAGCCCGGGGCUUAACCCCGGGUCUGCAGUCGAUACGGGCAGGCUAGAGUUCGGUAGGGGAGAUCGGAAUUCCUGGUGUAGCGGUGAAAUGCGCAGAUAUCAGGAGGAACACCGGUGGCGAAGGCGGAUCUCUGGGCCGAUACUGACGCUGAGGAG
RNAcentral lists this ribosomal RNA (700 nucleotides) under Streptomyces violascens. RNAcentral's name for it is "bacterial SSU rRNA". It matches the Rfam family "Bacterial small subunit ribosomal RNA", at positions 39 to 753 of the family's 1533-position model. The record is from RNAcentral. Lineage: Bacteria; Bacillati; Actinomycetota; Actinomycetes; Kitasatosporales; Streptomycetaceae.